UUCCCCUUCGGGGGACAAAGUGACAGGUGGUGCAUGGUUGUCGUCAGCUCGUGUCGUGAGAUGUUGGGUUAAGUCCCGCAACGAGCGCAACCCUUAAGCUUAGUUGCCAUCAUUAAGUUGGGCACUCUAAGUUGACUGCCGGUGACAAACCGGAGGAAGGUGGGGAUGACGUCAAAUCAUCAUGCCCCUUAUGAUUUGGGCUACACACGUGCUACAAUGGACAAUACAAAGGGCAGCGAAACCGCGAGGUCAAGCAAAUCCCAUAAAGUUGUUCUCAGUUCGGAUUGUAGUCUGCAACGCGACUACAUAAAGCUGGAAUCGCUAGUAAUCGUAGAUCAGCAUGCUACGGUGAAUACGUUCCCGGGUCUUGUACACACCGCCCGUCACACCACGAGAGU
RNAcentral lists this ribosomal RNA (398 nucleotides) under Staphylococcus aureus. RNAcentral's name for it is "bacterial SSU rRNA". It matches the Rfam family "Bacterial small subunit ribosomal RNA", at positions 1013 to 1411 of the family's 1533-position model. The record is from RNAcentral. Lineage: Bacteria; Bacillati; Bacillota; Bacilli; Caryophanales; Staphylococcaceae.